GUGCACACUGUAGUAUUGCAACUACCAGCGGUAGCUGUUGUUUUGGCCGUGUCAAGAGACCCUGUUUCCGUCUGUUUUGGCUGUCUCAAAUGUGAAACAAAGGUGCAGUUUCACAAUUCAGGAGAGCGCAGGAAUGGGUUUGGAGAGACCGAAGUAGGGGUUUCGAUGAAGACGAGGGUAAACAUAUAUGUAAGGAGCGUCUUGUACGUUAGCGUUGGUUGCAGUGUUGUCGACAGCCACCCGUUGAGACCAAUGGCUACACCGUCGGCACACAUACACGGUAUGAGUAUGGGUGGGCGCUCACUCUUCAAAGGCAUACAUCCUACAGAACUUUGCCGAGGUGAAAAGGAGCACGAGAUGACGAGACGUCGUGAAGAGGGGGAAAAGAAGAGACUCAGCAACAGACCGUCAUGACAUCAAACAAUCGGCCAUUCACGAGUUCUUUACAAAACGGUUCUUUACAAACGGUUCUUUGCAAACGGUUCUUUACAGCACGAGUUCUUUACGACACGAGUUCUUUACAACACGAGUUCUUUACGACACUCGAACUACGUAUUGUGCAUACUGAAGUCCCACUUCCCAGUCCAAAGGUUCCUUUUCUUCGUCUGUUUCAGGUGUAUGCUUGCAGCCAGUGGAAGGAGGUGACCCUUGGAACGGACUCCUUGUACGUACUGUACUUGUACUCGUACUUGCCGUCUCGACUUCUCCACAUCAAUUGACUCCGAAUUUUCUAUCUACGACACCAUUGCAACACCAAUUGAAACACAUUCGACUGUAUCAAUGUUGCACUGAAGCAACGUCGACAAAGUGCAGCUACAUUGCUACAACUAGUCGAGAGGGAGAUGAUAGAAUGAUUCAACAUUGGUUUCAACCGAUCGGUGGUUCUGAUGACAGAUCAUCGAUUCCGAUGACAGAUCAUUUGUUCCGAUGACAGAUGACUGGUUCUGAUGCCAGAUGAACAUUCUCUCACACUACCAGGACGUUCACUCGUUUCCUCUGCACUUCUCCGAAGUACUCUCGGUGGGUCAUCGACAAGUGGGGAUUUCUCUAUCUCAUCGGAUCACGUCCUCGGUUCCCACUCUCCACUCGGUUGGUCGGUUCUUCUCCAGUCCCCACUAACGUACAAUAUGCAUCUCUCGCGCAUUUGCCGAGGUACUCGACGCGGCGCAAAGAGACCUCAACCACGACAAGAAUCGGUUUCUUUUGUGCACAAACAGCAUAUUCGAUGUGCCGCAUCAUAUUCACGACAUUCGCCAUCUCCUCUGCUUCAACAUCUCCAGCAAAACGUGAGUUUACAACAUCAUACCAAGACUUUGGCACUGCGGCUGGCCUCCGAUUCCAGCAUGGGGGGCAUCAAGUGAGUUUUGUGCGACAGUUACAUGAUGGCCGAUUUGAGUCAUGGCACUAGCUCGUUGGUGGACCAGUACGGGCUUACAGUACUCAUGCUGGACUUGAGCAUAAGUCGUGUCAUACAAGAGACCUACUUUCAGCUUAGGCCGACGACUCAAGUGCUUUCGAGUUACCGAUCCCGGUUCUUGUUGCCCAUGAGAUCGUAGGGGGAUCUUAAGAGGGAUCUUUUUGGGACUUCACUUAAUCAAGAGGAAGUCGUAAAGUGCUUCCCUGUGUACUGGUUUUCACAGUGAGCAGGCUCUCCCAACUACUACUGUUACAGUAGCGCGAUGGCGUCUUAUGGAUAUCAUCAAACCACCAACCUACAGUCUACUACACCUUGUAGUUGGAGCAAUGCCAACCAUUCACUCAGACAGCCUCUCUGAACGGACCUUGAGCAACUCUGAGCAUCCACCACUUGGUGGACAUUGGUUCUCUCCUCAGCUUGCUGUCCUCCAACUGUUCAGCAAUUGCGAGUAACUACAGCUCUGGUCGCUUCAAUGUCAAUCAACGCUCCUCACACGCGAUACCUCCAUUAAUUCCGUAUCAUAAUCCUUGAUAUCAAGUCAUUAACCAUCGAUACCCACUGCGAUAACAAUAAUACCCGACCUUUCACCAAUUCAAUUCUGUACUUCGACUCGCGACUCUUACUAAGCACUGUUUCAUUCGUACUCGACUGAGCCGCUACCCCACUUUACAGCUUUUGAUGCACUCAUAAGAUCCAGCCGAAUGUUACCCAAAUGACUCCUUGACUCAGUUACCCAAAUGACUCCUUUACUCAGCAGUCACCGAACCUACCUUUGAUUACCAACCGUGAUACAUCCAGCCGAGACAUGUUUGUUACCCCUGCGAAGCUUCCUCACAUAACCGACCAUAUGGCAGGUGCACAGCAUCACGUGUGGCCCCCAAAAACGGCGAACACAAGUCUGGAUACACCUGAUCUGCAGACCUUCAGCUCUUGAAACACUAGCGGUUUCGUCGUUGCUAUGUCUCCAUCAAAGACGACGACACAUUCCUGAAUACGAAUGUUACGCUUGCCUGCCUGCAUUCCUCAGGCCAGCCCCGCGAAAAAGAAAGUCAGUCCAUCCCUGUAAUGAGAAUUUGGUUUCCUUUUCGCAACCUAAGUCCUGCCGCGUGUUUACCUGCUCUAGGGUUGGAUGCAGGUGUAGAUUUGCUGCAGGAGUGAACACAGGCACAGGAACGAGCGGUAGGCCGGUGACUGACGCAGUCCUGCCUGCGCCAAACAUUCGGUGCAUAAAAACAAAAGUUGCCUGAUGUUUUGGACCCUCGUGAAGGGGCUGCUUAUUCAAUCAAGGGACUGGAUGGAGCACCAAUACCUGCAUAUGUCAAUCCCAUGAGUGGACCCGGUGAUCUUACGAGUCAUGGAGAUCUUACGAGGGGCUCCAUUUGGGGUAUGGAAGAGGGUGUUGUCAUAGUCGUGUCCAAGACACCAAUCACACGACUGUCUCAGAAUGUUGGACCGUUCCACGGCCCGCGGACUGCAAACAGCACCCCCCCUGAAGCUGUCGCAACGGUUGUCAGCAGCAGCUUUCACGUGUGGCCUCUUGUUUUGUCUCUGCCGGUCGCGUAUCUCCAGCGCGUCCGCCUGUAAAGUGCAUCUUCCCUGCAUCUUUCUAUUGUCGUCUGCCGAUCUUCGCGGCAUACAAUGGACGUGACGCGACUCUGAGCUUGAAAAGUCCAAUGUAACGUAGGCUGUGAGACAUGAUAGCGGCGCAGGAUAUGCCAGGGCGUUACAGGGGUGCUAAGGGGCAGACCUGGCUGACAUUGAGAGUGUAUUUGCAACUUGCUUCUUGUUUUGGUGGCUGCUAAUGUCACCAACAUGCAGGGCACGGUGCUUACUCACACCCUACAGCUACUGCUUACACACUCACCGCGACCAAGCUCAGUCCUACAUGAUAGACUGUCGCUCACGAUUGACAGCUACAUGACCUGCGCCGCCACACGCGAAAACGCGAUCUCGCAAAUCCCCGAUCGUCACAGGAUCUCCAUUUUCAGAUCAACUGAUCGGCGACAGGGGCUCGGAUCGGCGGUAGGGUAAGCUUUCUGUGAGAGAGGAGGAAGAAGAUCAUCAGUGGUGAUAGUGGGUGGUAGUAUGGUGGCUAAGGACUGAUUGAUUGGUGAUUUCGCCGCGGUUUUUUCGACACUUUUGGUGAUGGCGAUGUUUGAUAAGGGCAGUAUGUAGGUCGGUGAGACAAGGCUGUGUGGACAAGGGUGGGUCAUAGAGUACAGCACCCAAGUACAAGUAGUACAAGUACCUGCUUGUCGCCAAGCACUAAACUUUGCUUAGUCUUGGAAGGGGUGAAUGGUGGCCAGGAGAAGCCAUUAGUGCGGUAGGAGGUCCUUGUUGGAGCUGGUUCGAUAUGGCAUGCUUGUGAAAGACCCAAAACGAUAGAUCCAAAAGCGGCCUGGGGACUAGACUCCCGCCAUUAGACCAAAUAACUUG
This 3853-nucleotide unclassified non-coding RNA is filed under the name Yarrowia lipolytica. The record is from RNAcentral. Lineage: Eukaryota; Fungi; Ascomycota; Dipodascomycetes; Dipodascales.